Molecule: long non-coding RNA, 360 nt
Organism: Pangasianodon hypophthalmus (striped catfish)
Lineage: Eukaryota; Metazoa; Chordata; Actinopteri; Siluriformes; Pangasiidae
Exons: 3
Source: RefSeq, a predicted model, not a curated record
AUUGGCUGUCCCAUUGACCAGUCACUCUUCAUGGACACACAGCUGGGUUCUGGUAUAAAUGUUCUUCUGUAGCACCACAGCCCUCCAGCUCAGUAUACUACAGUCUAUCCAAAGUGUAGGAUCUGAAGUGAACAGGCAAGGAAAGCAAAGAAGCCAUAAAGCUAGGAAUCCUGCUUCCAGACUUUGCAGACCCAAGUUAAUUACCACUUGUUUACUGAUUGCUGGAUUUCAACUGCCCGGUGAACAAUCAGCAACUGAUAGGACAUCCCUGACCAGAGGAUGAACCCUCUUAGCCAAGAGGAACCUCUGUCAAACUUGUUGAUCUAGAUCGCUGGCCAAGACCAGAUGGCUCACCCAACA